Helianthus annuus (common sunflower) is the source of this 544-nucleotide long non-coding RNA. RefSeq lists it as uncharacterized. Lineage: Eukaryota; Viridiplantae; Streptophyta; Magnoliopsida; Asterales; Asteraceae. The transcript has 3 exons. The record is from RefSeq and is a predicted model, not a curated record.
UUCCUGGUCUAAAAUCUUUGCAGGUGUGUUGCGCGACCUGGGGAUUGACCCUGAGGAGAAGAAAAAGAAACCUGUGAAGAAGAAGAAGAAGGUGGAGCCUGAAGUGACCAGCAAGGGCACUGGCCCUAGUCGCGCGACAACUGCUGCUGUCAAAGCUAAGGGAAAAACUGGUGCUGGUGGGUCGAAAAGCUCUGGGAGCGCGGGUUCUCGUAACCCUGAAGCUGGCGCGACUCCAUCUUUUCCUGAAGAUGACGAAGCUGAAGAAGAAGAUGCUGGUGCCCAGCUUAUUGGGCGGAAGAGGGGUAGGAGCGAAGCCACGACUGGUGUGGCUUCCGCCCCUACAUCUGUUGUGAUUCCCGCGGUUGGGAAAACGAGCAAGCUGCGCUCGUUAUACAAAUUUUCUCCUGAAAUCAAGAAGAAGACCCCUGAGAAGGGUGUCACGUUCAGUGAGGCUGUGGCGAAGAGGCCCAAGAUUACCAUCAAGUCCACUGACACUGCUGCUCAGGAUGCCGCGAAGGCUGCUGAGGCGCAGCGAAAGGUGGAG